This 2896-nucleotide ribosomal RNA is filed under the name Yersinia kristensenii. RNAcentral's name for it is "bacterial LSU rRNA". It matches the Rfam family "Bacterial large subunit ribosomal RNA". Lineage: Bacteria; Pseudomonadati; Pseudomonadota; Gammaproteobacteria; Enterobacterales; Yersiniaceae. The record is from RNAcentral.
ACUAAGCGUACACGGUGGAUGCCUAGGCAGUCAGAGGCGAUGAAGGGCGUGCUAAUCUGCGAAAAGCGUCGGUAAGGUGAUAUGAACCGUUAUAACCGACGAUACCCGAAUGGGGAAACCCAGUGCAAUUCGUUGCACUAUUGCAUGGUGAAUACAUAGCCAUGCAAGGCGAACCGGGGGAACUGAAACAUCUAAGUACCCCGAGGAAAAGAAAUCAACCGAGAUUCCCCCAGUAGCGGCGAGCGAACGGGGAGGAGCCCAGAGUCUGAAUCAGUUUGUGUGUUAGUGGAAGCGUCUGGAAAGUCGCAGGGUACAGGGUGAUACUCCCGUACACAAAAACACACUUGCUGUGAACUCGAUGAGUAGGGCGGGACACGUGACAUCCUGUCUGAAUAUGGGGGGACCAUCCUCCAAGGCUAAAUACUCCUGACUGACCGAUAGUGAACCAGUACCGUGAGGGAAAGGCGAAAAGAACCCCGGCGAGGGGAGUGAAAUAGAACCUGAAACCGUGUACGUACAAGCAGUGGGAGCACCUUCGUGGUGUGACUGCGUACCUUUUGUAUAAUGGGUCAGCGACUUAUAUUUUGUAGCAAGGUUAACCGAAUAGGGGAGCCGUAGGGAAACCGAGUCUUAACUGGGCGUCUAGUUGCAAGGUAUAGACCCGAAACCCGGUGAUCUAGCCAUGGGCAGGUUGAAGGUUGGGUAACACUAACUGGAGGACCGAACCGACUAAUGUUGAAAAAUUAGCGGAUGACUUGUGGCUGGGGGUGAAAGGCCAAUCAAACCGGGAGAUAGCUGGUUCUCCCCGAAAGCUAUUUAGGUAGCGCCUCGUGAACUCAUCUUCGGGGGUAGAGCACUGUUUCGGCUAGGGGGCCAUCCCGGCUUACCAAACCGAUGCAAACUCCGAAUACCGAAGAAUGUUAUCACGGGAGACACACGGCGGGUGCUAACGUCCGUCGUGAAGAGGGAAACAACCCAGACCGCCAGCUAAGGUCCCAAAGUCAUGGUUAAGUGGGAAACGAUGUGGGAAGGCAUAGACAGCCAGGAUGUUGGCUUAGAAGCAGCCAUCAUUUAAAGAAAGCGUAAUAGCUCACUGGUCGAGUCGGCCUGCGCGGAAGAUGUAACGGGGCUAAACCAUGCACCGAAGCUGCGGCAGCGACGCUUAGGCGUUGUUGGGUAGGGGAGCGUUCUGUAAGCCGUUGAAGGUGACCUGUGAGGGUUGCUGGAGGUAUCAGAAGUGCGAAUGCUGACAUAAGUAACGAUAAUGCGGGUGAAAAACCCGCACGCCGGAAGACCAAGGGUUCCUGUCCAACGUUAAUCGGGGCAGGGUGAGUCGACCCCUAAGGCGAGGCUGAAAAGCGUAGUCGAUGGGAAACAGGUUAAUAUUCCUGUACUUGGUGUUACUGCGAAGGGGGGACGGAGAAGGCUAGGCUAGCCGGGCGACGGUUGUCCCGGUUUAAGCAUGUAGGCGGAGUGACUUGGUAAAUCCGGUUGCUUAUCAACGCUGAGGUGUGAUGACGAGUCACUACGGUGAUGAAGUAGUUGAUGCCAAGCUUCCAGGAAAAGCCUCUAAGCAUCAGGUAACAUUAAAUCGUACCCCAAACCGACACAGGUGGUCAGGUAGAGAAUACUCAGGCGCUUGAGAGAACUCGGGUGAAGGAACUAGGCAAAAUGGUGCCGUAACUUCGGGAGAAGGCACGCUGGCAUUAGGUAAAGGGACUUGCUCCCGGCGCCGAAGCCAGUCGCAGAUACCAGCUGGCUGCAACUGUUUAAUAAAAACACAGCACUGUGCAAACACGAAAGUGGACGUAUACGGUGUGACGCCUGCCCGGUGCUGGAAGGUUAAUUGAUGGGGUCAGCCGCAAGGCGAAGCUCUUGAUCGAAGCCCCAGUAAACGGCGGCCGUAACUAUAACGGUCCUAAGGUAGCGAAAUUCCUUGUCGGGUAAGUUCCGACCUGCACGAAUGGCGUAAUGAUGGCCAGGCUGUCUCCACCCGAGACUCAGUGAAAUUGAACUCGCUGUGAAGAUGCAGUGUACCCGCGGCAAGACGGAAAGACCCCGUGAACCUUUACUAUAGCUUGACACUGAACAUUGAGCCUUGAUGUGUAGGAUAGGUGGGAGGCAUUGAAGUGUGGACGCCAGUCUGCAUGGAGCCAACCUUGAAAUACCACCCUUUAAUGUUUGAUGUUCUAACUCGGCCCCGUAAUCCGGGGUGAGGACAGUGUCUGGUGGGUAGUUUGACUGGGGCGGUCUCCUCCCAAAGAGUAACGGAGGAGCACGAAGGUUAGCUAAUCACGGUCGGACAUCGUGAGGUUAGUGCAAAGGCAUAAGCUAGCUUGACUGCGAGAGUGACGGCUCGAGCAGGUACGAAAGUAGGUCUUAGUGAUCCGGUGGUUCUGAAUGGAAGGGCCAUCGCUCAACGGAUAAAAGGUACUCCGGGGAUAACAGGCUGAUACCGCCCAAGAGUUCAUAUCGACGGCGGUGUUUGGCACCUCGAUGUCGGCUCAUCACAUCCUGGGGCUGAAGUAGGUCCCAAGGGUAUGGCUGUUCGCCAUUUAAAGUGGUACGCGAGCUGGGUUUAGAACGUCGUGAGACAGUUCGGUCCCUAUCUGCCGUGGGCGUUGGAAGAUUGAGAGGGGCUGCUCCUAGUACGAGAGGACCGGAGUGGACGAAUCACUGGUGUUCGGGUUGUCAUGCCAAUGGCAUUGCCCGGUAGCUAAAUUCGGAAGAGAUAACCGCUGAAAGCAUCUAAGCGGGAAACUUGCCUCGAGAUGAGUCUUCCCUGGGGCUUUAAGCCCCCUGAAGGAACGUUAAAGACUAUGACGUUGAUAGGCUGGGUGUGUAAGUGCAGCGAUGCAUUGAGCUAACCAGUACUAAUGAUCCGUGAGGCUUAACC